UCAUUGGAGAGUUUGAUCCUGGCUCAGGACGAACGCUGGCGGCGUGCUUAACACAUGCAAGUCGAACGG
This 69-nucleotide ribosomal RNA is filed under the name Syntrophomonadaceae bacterium. Its description in RNAcentral is "partial 16S ribosomal RNA". It matches the Rfam family "Bacterial small subunit ribosomal RNA", at positions 1 to 69 of the family's 1533-position model. Lineage: Bacteria; Bacillati; Bacillota; Clostridia; Eubacteriales; Syntrophomonadaceae. The record is from RNAcentral.